Plectropomus leopardus (leopard coralgrouper) is the source of this 201-nucleotide non-coding RNA. Lineage: Eukaryota; Metazoa; Chordata; Actinopteri; Perciformes; Serranidae. The record is from RefSeq and is a predicted model, not a curated record.
UGUCGCUUCGACAGCAUGGGUCGACUGAACGUCGCUGGUGUAACUGGUGGAAAUUAAGACACUCAUACUGGACUUGCAUCAGGUACUGGUCAUCUCAACGACGUCACCAUAAAUGUAAUUGUCAUUUUCUUUAAUAUUUUACAAUGCCUAAUAUUGAACUGUUUGUGCUACAAUUGAAUCAAAUAAAACUCUUAAUGUAAA